UAUCAACCCACUGGAACCGAAUCGGGCCAGAUCCUACGGAGGCAGCCAUUGGGGAAUAUUGGAACAAUGGGCGCAGCUGAUCCAGCCAUGCCGCGUGAGUGAAGAAGCUCGGGUUGUAAGCUCUUUUUGUCGGAAAGAAAAGCAUUCGGUUAAUAACCGGGUGUCAUGACGGUACCGGAAGAAUAAGCACGGCUAACUUCGUGCCAGCAGCCGCGGUAAUACGAAAGGGUGCAAGCGUACUCGGAAUUACUGGGCGUAAAGCGUGCGUAGGUGGUUCGUUAAGUCUGAUGUGAAAGCCUGGGCUCAACCUGGGAAUGGCAUUGGAUACUGGCGGACUGGAGUGCGGUAGAGGAUGGCGGAAUUCCCGGUGUAGCAGUGAAAUGCGUAGAGAUCGGGAGGAACAUCUGUGGCGAAGGCGGCCAUCUGGACCAGCACUGACACUGAGGCACGAAAGCGUGGGGAGCAAACAGGAUUAGAUACCCUGGUAGUCCACGCCCUAAACGAUGCGAACUGGAUGUUGGGUGCAACUAGGCACUCAGUAUCGAAGCUAACGCGUUAAGUUCGCCGCCUGGGGAGUACGGUCGCAAGACUGAAACUCAAAGGAAUUGACGGGGGCCCGCACAAGCGGUGGAGUAUGUGGUUUAAUUCGAUGCAACGCGAAGAACCUUACCUGGCC
This 676-nucleotide ribosomal RNA is filed under the name uncultured bacterium. RNAcentral describes it as "bacterial SSU rRNA". It matches the Rfam family "Bacterial small subunit ribosomal RNA", at positions 303 to 980 of the family's 1533-position model. The record is from RNAcentral.